Molecule: non-coding RNA, 69 nt
Organism: Panthera uncia (snow leopard)
Lineage: Eukaryota; Metazoa; Chordata; Mammalia; Carnivora; Felidae
Source: the annotation of a RefSeq genome assembly
AUUCCUUUAGUAUUACCUAGUACAGUUGACUUCCAAUCAACCAAUUUCGGUACAAUCCGAAAAGGAAUA